GACGAACGCUGGCGGCGUGCUUAACACAUGCAAGUCGAACGGAAAGGCCCUGCUUUUGUGGGGUGCUCGAGUGGCGAACGGGUGAGUAACACGUGAGUAACCUGCCCUUGACUUUGGGAUAACUUCAGGAAACUGGGGCUAAUACCGGAUAGGAGCUCCUGCUGCAUGGUGGGGGUUGGAAAGUUUCGGCGGUUGGGGAUGGACUCGCGGCUUAUCAGCUUGUUGGUGGGGUAGUGGCUUACCAAGGCUUUGACGGGUAGCCGGCCUGAGAGGGUGACCGGCCACAUUGGGACUGAGAUACGGCCCAGACUCCUACGGGAGGCAGCAGUGGGGAAUAUUGCACAAUGGGCGGAAGCCUGAUGCAGCAACGCCGCGUGCGGGAUGACGGCCUUCGGGCUGUAAACCGCUUUCGCCUGUGACGAAGCGUGAGUGACGGUAAUGGGUAAAGAAGCACCGGCUAACUACGUGC
This 469-nucleotide ribosomal RNA is filed under the name uncultured bacterium. Its description in RNAcentral is "partial 16S ribosomal RNA". It matches the Rfam family "Bacterial small subunit ribosomal RNA", at positions 28 to 508 of the family's 1533-position model. The record is from RNAcentral.